AAAAUUGGUGCUUCCAUGGGACUUGCUAUUUUUCCUUUCACUCUAACCAUAAAUCCCAUUGAAAAGAACAUAGCUCGGCCUAGGAACUUCAGAGCUGGAGAUGAUAAGAAGACACUGAAGUUUACUGAAUGUUAUACUCUGAGUUUGAAGAAGAUUAAUUUGAUA
Sarcophilus harrisii (Tasmanian devil) is the source of this 165-nucleotide long non-coding RNA. RefSeq lists it as uncharacterized. The transcript is spliced from 2 exons. The record is from RefSeq and is a predicted model, not a curated record. Lineage: Eukaryota; Metazoa; Chordata; Mammalia; Dasyuromorphia; Dasyuridae.